This 84-nucleotide transfer RNA is filed under the name Deltaproteobacteria bacterium. RNAcentral's name for it is "tRNA-Ser". It matches the Rfam family "tRNA". From Rfam's summary of the family: Transfer RNA (tRNA) molecules are approximately 80 nucleotides in length. Their secondary structure includes four short double-helical elements and three loops (D, anti-codon, and T loops). RNAcentral also lists the same sequence under 2 other names. The record is from RNAcentral. Lineage: Bacteria; Pseudomonadati; Myxococcota; Myxococcia.
GGAAGGUUGGCCGAGUGGAAAGGCUCCGAUCUCGAAAGUCGGUGGGCUCGAAAGGGUGCAUGGGUUCGAAUCCCAUACCUUCCU